GACGUAGGGCGCGAGCGUUGUCCGGAUUUAUUGGGCGUAAAGGGCGCGUAGGCGGCGCAACAAGUCACUUGUGAAAUCUCCGGGCUUAACCCGGAACGGUCAAGUGAAACUGUCGUGCUAGAGUACAGAAGGGGCAACUGGAAUUCUCGGUGUAGCGGUGAAAUGCGUAGAUAUCGGGAGGAACACCGGUGGCGAAGGCGGUUCUCUGGGCCUUACCUGACGCUGAGGAGCGAAAGCGUGGGGAGCGAACAGG
RNAcentral lists this ribosomal RNA (253 nucleotides) under uncultured bacterium. RNAcentral's name for it is "partial 16S ribosomal RNA". It matches the Rfam family "Bacterial small subunit ribosomal RNA", at positions 524 to 776 of the family's 1533-position model. The record is from RNAcentral.